GACGAACGCUGGCGGCGUGCUUAACACAUGCAAGUCGAACGCUGAAGCCCAGCUUGCUGGGUGGAUGAGUGGCGAACGGGUGAGUAACACGUGAGUAACCUGCCCCCUUCUUUGGGAUAACGCCCGGAAACGGGUGCUAAUACUGGAUAUUCACUGGCCUUCGCAUGGGGGUUGGUGGAAAGGUUUUUUCUGGUGGGGGAUUGGCUCGCGGCCUAUCAGCUUGUUGGUGGGGUGAUGGCCUACCAAGGUUUUGACGGGGAGCCGGCCUGAGAGGGUGACCGGUCACAUUGUUGACUGAAAUACGGCCCAAACUCCUACGGUAGGCAUUUUGGGGAAUAUUGCACAAUGGGUGAUAGCUUGUUGCUGCUACGCCGCGGGAGGUUGUCGGCCUUGUGUUGUAAACUUUUUUCGCUAUGUUCAUACUGCAGUUUUUGGUGGUGGUGUUGGUGGUGGUAACAAAGUGUUGGUACCUGUGUUUUUUUUGUUGUGUUUGUUUUUUGUGUGUUAUCUUGUCCAAAUUGUUUGUUGUGUUUGUUUGUGA
Molecule: ribosomal RNA, 541 nt
Filed under: uncultured Streptococcus sp.
Lineage: Bacteria; Bacillati; Bacillota; Bacilli; Lactobacillales; Streptococcaceae
Description: partial 16S ribosomal RNA
Rfam family: Bacterial small subunit ribosomal RNA (bases 12-375)
Source: RNAcentral